CCUACGGGUGGCAGCAGUAGGGAAUCUUGCUCAAUGGGGGAAACCCUGAUGCAGCAACGCCGCGUGGAGGAAGAAGGUUUUCGGAUCGUAAACUCCUUUUGUUAGAGAAGAUAAUGACGGUAUCUAACGAAUAACCACUCGCUAACUCCGUGCCAGCAGCCGCGGUAAUACGAAGGGUGCAAGCGUUACUCGGAAUCACUGGGCGUAAAGAGCGCGUAGGCGGGAUAGCAAGUCUGAUGUGAAAUCCUAUGGCUUAACCAUAGAAGUGCAUUUGAAACUGUUAUACUAGAGUAUGGGAGAGGUAAGUGGAAUUCUAGGUGUAGGGGUAAAAGCCGUAGAGAUAAAGAGGAAUACUCGUGGCGAAGGCGACCUGCUAGAACAUAACUGACGCUGAUGUGCGAAAGCGUGGGGAGCAAACAGGAUUAGAUACCCUAGUAGUC
This 440-nucleotide ribosomal RNA is filed under the name uncultured bacterium. RNAcentral's name for it is "partial 16S ribosomal RNA". It matches the Rfam family "Bacterial small subunit ribosomal RNA", at positions 338 to 795 of the family's 1533-position model. The record is from RNAcentral.